Long non-coding RNA from Homo sapiens (human), 1244 nucleotides. RefSeq lists it as uncharacterized. NCBI's taxonomy places the organism in Eukaryota, Metazoa, Chordata, Mammalia, Primates, Hominidae. The transcript has 2 exons. The record is from RefSeq and is a predicted model, not a curated record.
GGAGCUGGGCCGCACUGGGGGAUGGGACUGGCUGCUCUGGAAGCAUCGAGAAGUAGUGUCCUCCAGAGGAGGUAGAACCAGAGAUCUCGCAGGUGGAAGAUUGAAGGUCUGAAGAGUGGGAAGUCCCAGGAACAGGCAAUUCCAGGAAGAUAUGAGGAAAAUCAAGAAAGAGAAGGAAACUGAAGCUAGUGGGAAGUGCUUCAAGUUGGAGAUGAUGCUGAGAUGGCCAAAAAGUGAGAGGUGGAAAACAUUUGGAGUGAGUUAAGGAGAGAACGCGAGGCAAGGAAGUGAAGCUGAGUGAGUUGGGGAGUGGGGUGCAGGGGCCUUUGGCCACCCCAGGCUCUUUCUAUGUGAACAUUCUGAGACUGAUUCUGAUUUUUUUCCCCUCCCAAAUUGCUCUCUUUUCCUUUCUUCACCUACUUACUCCCUGGUCAUCCUUCCUUUGGGUCAGUGAAGUUGCUGAUUCUUUAGGGAACACUUCUCUGAUUGCUGAAGCUAAUAGUCUCUCCCUGCGGUUGCCGGUUGUUUCCAAUAGUUGACUAGUUUUCUUCCCCAGCACUUACGAGUACACAGCCAGUCACUCUGGUUGCUCACUGUCUUCCUUCUUCCUUGACUGUCAGCUCACAGGAAUGCAGGGCCCUUACUUGUUUUACUCACCACUGCAUCCCAAGGAUAUAGCAGAGUGCCUGGCACACGGUAGGUGCUGAAUAAAUAUUCGUUAAAUGAUUGAUUGGAGGAAAAAACCACCAUCCUCCAUGGUAAACCUUUACUUUACUUUUGCAUACUUCUAAAAGUAUAAUCUAGAGGUUCAGUGACUCCCGCAAAUAAACAGAAAAGGGCACAGAGGGUGGCGAUAGGGCCACUGAUAACAGGAGCUGGAAGUAGAAGACAUCUUUUUUCCGAAGUUGAAGACUUGUACUUCCAUAACCUUGGCAGAUUAGGAAAUGUCAAUUACCCUCCAAUCCAACCUCCUAUAUAGAGCCACACACUGGUUUCCUAGCCUUUUAUGUAUUGAAAAGAUGUUAUCCUAUAAAUUUUCUUCUUUUCCAAUGUGUUCUAUAAAUAUCCACUAAAAUACUUUAAUUGCAAGAAAGUUAGAUAUUUGAGGUUAUAUCCAUGUUUCAUUUCUGUGGAAAACAACACAGAAAAUGUUACCCAAGUAUAACUGGGCACCAUGGCUCCAAUAUUUUCUCAUUAUCAGCUCAAAUAAACACAACUUAGAAUAAAAAAGUCAUGUAAAGCAA